AGGGUUUGAUCAUGGCUCAGGAUGAACGCUGGCGGCGUGCUUAACACAUGCAAGUCGAACGAACCUUCGGGUUAGUGGCGGACGGGUGAGUAACGCGUGAGAAUCUGCCCUCAGGAGGGGGAUAACGGUUGGAAACGACCGCUAAUACCCCAUAUGCCUACUGGUGAAAUGAAUUUCGCCUGAGGAUGAGCUCGCGUCUGAUUAGCUAGUUGGUGAGGUAAUGGCUCACCAAGGCUUCGAUCAGUAGCUGGUCUGAGAGGAUGAUCAGCCACACUGGGACUGAGACACGGCCCAGACUCCUACGGGAGGCAGCAGUGGGGAAUUUUCCGCAAUGGGCGAAAGCCUGACGGAGCAACGCCGCGUGAGGGACGAAGGCCUCUGGGCUGUAAACCUCUUUUCUCAAGGAAGAAGAUAUGACGGUACUUGAGGAAUAAGCCACGGCUAAUUCCGUGCCAGCAGCCGCGGUAAUACGGGAGUGGCAAGCGUUAUCCGGAAUUAUUGGGCGUAAAGCGUCCGCAGGCGGCUUUUCAAGUCUGCUGUUAAAGCGUGGAGCUUAACUCCAUCAUGGCAGUGGAAACUGAAAGGCUUGAGUAUGGUAGGGGCAGAGGGAAUUCCCGGUGUAGCGGUGAAAUGCGUAGAUAUCGGGAAGAACACCAGUGGCGAAGGCGCUCUGCUGGGCCAUUACUGACGCUCAUGGACGAAAGCCAGGGGAGCGAAAGGGAUUAGAUACCCCUGUAGUCCUGGCCGUAAACGAUGAACACUAGGUGUCGGGGGAAUCGACCCCUUCGGUGUCGUAGCUAACGCGUUA
RNAcentral lists this ribosomal RNA (808 nucleotides) under uncultured bacterium. Its description in RNAcentral is "bacterial SSU rRNA". It matches the Rfam family "Bacterial small subunit ribosomal RNA", at positions 8 to 862 of the family's 1533-position model. The record is from RNAcentral.